Long non-coding RNA from Peromyscus maniculatus bairdii (prairie deer mouse), 3852 nucleotides. RefSeq lists it as uncharacterized. NCBI's taxonomy places the organism in Eukaryota, Metazoa, Chordata, Mammalia, Rodentia, Cricetidae. The record is from RefSeq and is a predicted model, not a curated record.
GGCUGCGGAGAGAGCUGGGCCCGGGGACUCGACCAACAGGGCCUCCCGGAGGCGAGGAGGGAGGGCGGCAGACGACAGAAAGCUGGGCUUUCUUUGUUUUGUUUGUGUGGGCAGGGCUAGGCCCUGAAUACGCCUACGUCUGCACUCUGAGGUCAGCUGCCCAGCGAGGUAACAGCUGGCACCUGUGUGUGAAAUGCAGCGUGCAUUAGCGGCAUCAUUACUUAGCAUUAGAGCAUUACAAAGAUAAUUAGAGGAGCAGGGGACAGAAGGAACUGAAACCGCAGCCUCCCUGGCUUCUCAAACGCCCAGGUUACAAGUGUAAUUUCAAGGAUUUAGAGGGCCGCCUUGCACAGAGUAGCUGGUCUGUGACUUCAAGAGAACUCCAAAGAGACCCUGCGACCAAGGGCAGUGCUGGUAGAGGAGAGAGGCUUCUUUCCAGGCCUCGUCUUGGCUCGAGAGCUAAAUUAAGGUCACAGGUAAUGGGUCAGAGAUCUUUGUACUAGUUUCUAAUAUCCAAAUUAAUUCCACCUGGAACACCAGAAAUUAUUAUUAUUUUUUAUUGCAUUUGGUGUCUGAUAAUUGCCUCAACAGACAGCAGUUGCUAAGUUUGUACGUGUGGGACCGUGUGGUAGGAUCUUCGGCUCAGGCCUUAGAGCAGCCUUAUUGAGUCACGUGAUAAAAGAGAGCGCAGGCUCCCGAAGUCUGGGAAAGUGCGACUACGGAUUUCUUCGCAUUUGUUUCCAUUUUUUUCCCAUCUGAUUAUUUUUCGUUUGCAGCACUAGAGUUGAACCUAGGGUGGGGCCUAAAUUCUACCCCUGAGCCACAUCCCCAGCCCUGCUACCUGGUCUAGUCAAGACCUCAGCUGCUUCUGUCUGCUGCCUGGAAGUUGAGGAAAUGUCACUAACAGGACAGCAAGGGGAAAAGGCCGGGAUGUGGCUCAGUGGUAAAGCACAUGCCUAACAAACACAAGGACCUGGUUUCAUCCCCAGCAUUUCGAGAAAAAGGAGGAAGCAGAGGAGGAGGAACGGAGAGUGAACACAUCCUGUGAACCAUUUCAGCUCAUAUCAAGACAGGGAAUCCAGAUCUACCUGACUGACACAGGCGCAUCUACUCCAGCCACACAGUGUGGACAGGAGGCACGCAUCUGCCAUUACCUGCAGAACCAGGCAGAAAAUGCUUUCCGUAGAGCACAGGAGCCCUCGGAAGCCACAGAUGCAGGAAGCUGCUUGCUUCCCUCUGAAUGUCGGCAUCACUUGUGAGCAGUGCCACAGAGGAGAAGGAACCAGAGGAAAAUACAGGAAUUGAUUCACACAGAAUACAAACCACCAACCCCAGGAGGGAGGGGCUUUCCUGAAAUAUAUGAGUGUCUCUGGUUUCACAUGACGCUAUGUAUGGUUUAUCCUUCACGAACCACAGGAGGCUGAAAUGGUCAUUUCCUGGCCCUCCAAAGGUGGUUUUCCAGUGAGGACUGCAUUCUGACUAAUCAAUGUUGCUUUUCCCCCCUGUCUGAGUCUUUCUGCUUCACACAGACACAAAGCUGACUUAUGCUGGGGGUGGGGGUGGGGGCAAUGAAAAGGUGGCUGCAGAGAGCAACUUCAAGUUGGUCUUGGUAUCAAUCAUCUCUGCGAUUGUGAGAAUUUAGGUCGCAAAGCCUCCCCACACAGCCAGUCUGGACAAGCAUUCUCAGUGUAUUGUUAAGUGUAAAGGAGAUAGAUUCUUAAGUAUACUCAGUGUCCUAAGAAGUUCAUAAUACACACACUUGAUGGGGACAGCACUAAGUAGAGAGUGUAUGUUGUUUCCGUUUCCAAUUCUCUUUUCCUCAGUUGGCUUACUUUCUUACACACCCAAUGGCAUUUGUGUCGGGGGAGGUUUCCAAUCUUGAGACCUCCCAACAUGUCUUUGCUGCUCUUGGAGGCUGACAGUUCAGCAGAGGUAGGCAAAGCAGAAUUUCAGUUUGCUUUGCUGUCUAAGAUACAUCGAUCAUUUAUUUAGGGCUGGAGAGUUGGUUCAGCAGUCAAGAGCACUCGUUGCUCUGGCAGAAGACCCAUUUCCAUCCCCAGCACCCACAUGGUGACUCACAACCAUCCAUUUCCAGUGUCAGGGGAUCCAGCACCCUCUUCUGACCUCCUCAGAAACAGGCUAUAGACUCACUUCCCCUGAGAGACCAGACCAACAGGCCGAACAGCCCAGAUGAUACCCGAAGUUUCUCUCCGUCUGAAGUCAGCCAACCAACAAACUGAAGGAAGCCCAGGGGGAAAGUGCUCACUUCUCCCCAUGCGCAUACCUGACUUGUAACACACCACUGAUAUUUGGUUUUGAUUAAUUGUGUUAAUGAAGUUUACAGCACAAAGGCCUGAUAUUUGUUAUAUAAUUAAUGAAAAAAGCAGUCUUUUUUUUUUUCAAAUAUAACCUGAAAAUAGAUACCCUAAGUCAAAGUUUCUAAGGAUUUUUUUUCUCCAGAAAUAAGUGUCUAAAGAAGAAUAGUUAUGGAUGUACCUGGUCCCAGCAGGACAAGAAGCCUGGACUAUUUUCUGACAGAAGUGAAGUUUACACUGUGCUUAUGACUAGGAGAGAUGCUCACCAGGGGAGUCCGGUGUCUUAGGAAGUUGAGGAAUGAAGAGAUGCCUGCAUGAAUAUGGUACCACUCAGAAAAUCAGCAAAUUCAGCCCCGCAUGAUUCCUUCAUGGAGAAUAUUUGUUCACUAUCCAUGGGAUACUUUCUUCAUUGCUGGAAGGAAAGCCAGGCAUGGUGUGGUCACAUCAAAUGACCUGGUGACAAUUAACCCACAUUUUCAGAGAGCAUUCUGGUCCCGUCUAGGCCGGCAUUUGCCUCAGAACUUUCCUCAUCAGCGGGAGUCACUCAGGUGGUCCUUCAAUCUACCUGAAGGCCUUAGACAAGUAAUGUAAACCCUGGGAGAAUGGGGCUCAUAACGAGAUAAGUAACAAAACGCCGCAAGCCUAUUAGAGGGGAAAAUUGGAAAGGUUGCAGCCAAUUAUUAAUAAGUCACAAGAACAUGACAUGUCUAGAGAGUGCCUGGAUGAUAGAGGAGACAUCUCCUGUGUGACGAUCAGAGGUGGCUACCUGCCGCUAGCCUUAGGGACAAUUCCAGCCAUGGUCCAUGUUUGAUAGUCCACAGAGACAGGGAAAAAAAACAGUCAAAACUAGAAUGAAUGAAAACAGGAUUUAAAAAAAAAAUUAUUUUAAAAAAACUUGCAUUUUUUUUUACCUUAUCUUUCUUGCAGACAAAUUAAAUUCUUUAUUUUAGCUUGAAUCCAUCAACCUAGGUCAGGAAGAAAAUAAUAAAAUGAUCAUCUCAUUUAAGGCACCAGAAGGCUCCUCGGGAAGUGAAGCCACCCAUUCCUAAUGGAGAGGCGAGGAUUUUGGGUGCGGUGGUGCAUGGCUGUCAACGUAAGCCUCCGAAGGCUAAGGCGGGACACUGUGUCCAGCCUACCAGAGCUGAGUGAGUGACAAAAGGCUGGACCUAACAAGAGGCAGCAGGUCCCAGGGUGCGGCAUGUAAGGAGGCCUCAAGCUCAGGCUCCUGCUAGUACAGGCACUUGGGAAGGAAGGCCUCCUCAAAUUUGAUGCUAACCUCGCUCUACCUCAGCAUGCUAGUUCAGAUGCAGAUAAAAUAAAGACUCCUUUACUAAUCAAAAUUAAUUAAAGAAGUACUGGGCUUCCCAUUCUUGUUAUAGUUUAGAUAUUUUAUAUUAUAUGUAACAUAUAUAUUUACAUGUUGUAUGGCAAGUCCCCUGAAUUAUAACACCCUGACUACAUUGAAGCAGUCAGGCAUCUAAACCACAGCACUUCAAGAACAGGCUCUCAGCUGGGCGUGGUGGCAUACACCUUUAAU